This 369-nucleotide long non-coding RNA is filed under the name Daucus carota (carrot). RNAcentral describes it as "long non-coding RNA (DCAR_LNC003510)". Lineage: Eukaryota; Viridiplantae; Streptophyta; Magnoliopsida; Apiales; Apiaceae. The record is from RNAcentral.
UCCCGUAACUAGUUGUACAUUAGCAAUCUUGAAAUGUUCAUUACCAAUAUCUCCAAUACCAAUGAUACUACCCUUGCUACUAUCUCCAAACGUGACACUUCCAGCGGCAACCUUUCUAAUGCCAUUCAAGAGAGACUUAUUACCGGUCAUAUGUCUCGAACAACCACUAUCAAGGUACCACAUAUCAUGCUUAGUAACAAGGCACACCUACAAAACAAAUCAAUUAAAUUUAUAGGUACCCUUUCGUCUUAAGGGUCCUCGGGUUAGUGUAUCAUUAUAAGCAUUCGAGUUCGCAUGAUAGAAACUAGGCAUAGCAUAAUCAUGAUUAAGCACAUAGGAGUUUCUAGAUGCAACAUUCCUAGAAUAGUC